CGAUAAUGACGACGACGACGAGGAGGAUGAGGAUGACGACGACUUCGAAGACGACGCCUACAACAAGAACAACAACAACAACCACAACAACAACAACAACCAAAAAAAACAACAACAACAAGCACAACAGCAACAAUAACAACAACAACAACGACAACAACAAGAACAACAAUAACAACAACACUGACAACAACAACAACGAAAACAGCAAUCACAACAAGGAGAACAACAACAACAACAACAACAACAUCAACGAGGACGACCACGACGUCCACAACGACGACAACAUAGGCAAUGACGAGAACAACAACAACAAUGACAACAACAAAAACAAU
This 335-nucleotide long non-coding RNA is filed under the name Hordeum vulgare. Its description in RNAcentral is "long non-coding RNA (HVUL_LNC020796)". Lineage: Eukaryota; Viridiplantae; Streptophyta; Magnoliopsida; Poales; Poaceae. The record is from RNAcentral.